GACGCCGUGGCUGAGCGGCAAAGGCACGCGGCUGCAAACCGAGCUAUCACCGGUUCGAGUCCGGUCGGUGUCU
This 73-nucleotide transfer RNA is filed under the name Chloroflexota bacterium. Its description in RNAcentral is "Chloroflexi bacterium (groundwater metagenome) tRNA-Cys". It matches the Rfam family "tRNA". From Rfam's summary of the family: Transfer RNA (tRNA) molecules are approximately 80 nucleotides in length. Their secondary structure includes four short double-helical elements and three loops (D, anti-codon, and T loops). The record is from RNAcentral. Lineage: Bacteria; Bacillati; Chloroflexota.